CUCUUCAAUCUGCUGGGGACAAAUAAAAUGAAUAUGGGCGUCAAUGGCACCGGCCGUCAGGAUUUGCCCUUCACCGGCGAUCACCUCGGUACCGGGGCCAAUAAUAAUGGUCACAUCCGGCUGAAUAUCCGGAUUACCGGCCUUGCCAAUCGCCGUGAUACGCCCCGCUUUGAUGGCUACGUCGGCCUUGACGACGCCCCAGUGAUCCAAGAUCAAGGCAUUGGUAAUCACCGUAUCUGGGGUAUGGGCACUGCCCAGCUGGCCUUGCCCCAUGCCGUCGCGAA
This 284-nucleotide small RNA is filed under the name Spongiibacter sp. IMCC21906. Its description in RNAcentral is "5' ureB small RNA". It matches the Rfam family "5' ureB small RNA". The record is from Rfam by way of RNAcentral. Lineage: Bacteria; Pseudomonadati; Pseudomonadota; Gammaproteobacteria; Cellvibrionales; Spongiibacteraceae.